RNAcentral lists this non-coding RNA (145 nucleotides) under Debaryomyces hansenii. Lineage: Eukaryota; Fungi; Ascomycota; Pichiomycetes; Serinales; Debaryomycetaceae. The record is from RNAcentral.
ACCUCAUGAGCUGCAAUUUGCACCCAGUUAUGCAUUAUUUUUUCUUUAUCAUGAUUUUCAUUAGCCAAGCUAGCAUCUUAUACUGACAAGAGAUUUACCAUUCGCUGUUGACUUAGGUAUGACUUUUGACUUUAGUUAGUAUAUC